This 279-nucleotide unclassified non-coding RNA is filed under the name fungal sp. RNAcentral's name for it is "partial internal transcribed spacer region". The stretch from base 1 to 46 matches the Rfam family "Eukaryotic small subunit ribosomal RNA", at positions 1786 to 1831 of the family's 1831-position model. Lineage: Eukaryota; Fungi. The record is from RNAcentral.
AAGUCGUAACAAGGUUUCCGUAGGUGAACCUGCGGAAGGAUCAUUCACAAUGAGUGUUUAAUGGCACUUCAAAUCCAUUACCCACCUUGUGUGCAUUGUCGGGGGGAGGACUCUCAAUCUCUCUCUCUCUCUCUCUCCCUCACUCAGAGGGAGGAGGAGGAGGGGAGAAAGGAGGGGAGGUUCCUCUCUUCUUUCUAUACACACUGUUCUCAGUAUCAGUCUACUUCAAUUGAGUACAAAACUCGAAUACAACUUUCAACAACGGAUCUCUUGGCUCUC